UACAGAGGGGGCAAGCGUUAUUCGGAUUUACUGGGCGUAAAGGGCGCGUAGGCGGCCAGCACAAGUCAGUUGUGAAAUCUCCGAGCUUAACUCGGAAAGGUCAACUGAUACUGUGCGGCUAGAGUGCGGAAGGGGCAACUGGAAUUCUUGGUGUAGCGGUGAAAUGCGUAGAUAUCUGGAGGAAUACCGGUGGCGAAGGCGGCAUCCUGGACCGGCAUUGACGCUGAGGAGCGAAAGCUAGGGGGAGCAAACGGG
This 255-nucleotide ribosomal RNA is filed under the name uncultured bacterium. RNAcentral's name for it is "partial 16S ribosomal RNA". It matches the Rfam family "Bacterial small subunit ribosomal RNA", at positions 524 to 776 of the family's 1533-position model. The record is from RNAcentral.